AUUGAACGCUGGCGGCAGGCCUAACACAUGCAAGUCGAGCGGAUGAAGGGAGCUUGCUCCUGGAUUCAGCGGCGGACGGGUGAGUAAUGCCUAGGAAUCUGCCUGGUAGUGGGGGAUAACGUCCGGAAACGGGCGCUAAUACCGCAUACGUCCUGAGGGAGAAAGUGGGGGAUCUUCGGACCUCACGCCAUCAGAUGAGCCUAGGUCGGAUUAGCUAGUUGGUGGGGUAAAGGCCUACCAAGGCGACGAUCCGUAACUGGUCUGAGAGGAUGAUCAGUCACACUGGAACUGAGACACGGUCCAGACUCCCACGGGAGGCAGCAGUGGGGAAUAUUGGACAAUGGGCGAAAGCCUGAUCCAGCCAUGCCGCGUGUGUGAAGAAGGUCUUCGGAUUGUAAAGCACUUUAAGUUGGGAGGAAGGGCAGUAAGUUAAUACCUUGCUGUUUUGACGUUACCAACAGAAUAAGCACCGGCUAACUUCGUG
This 484-nucleotide ribosomal RNA is filed under the name uncultured bacterium. RNAcentral describes it as "partial 16S ribosomal RNA". It matches the Rfam family "Bacterial small subunit ribosomal RNA", at positions 30 to 507 of the family's 1533-position model. The record is from RNAcentral.